This is a microRNA precursor of Lupinus angustifolius (narrow-leaved blue lupine), 177 nucleotides long. It matches the Rfam family "MIR159 microRNA precursor family". NCBI's taxonomy places the organism in Eukaryota, Viridiplantae, Streptophyta, Magnoliopsida, Fabales, Fabaceae. The record is from Rfam.
AAGAGAGUGAAGGAGCUUCCAUCAGCCCACUUAUGCAUAUGAGAAAGAUUGGGGUUACUAAAUUAACUGUUGACUCAUUCAUACAUUAAUUAAUUGUGUGAAUGAAGAAUGAGAUAUUAAUUUUGAAACCCUCUUUCUCAGUGCCUUGGACUGAAGGGAGCUCCUUCUUUCUGUUGC